GUGGGGAAUCUUCCGCAAUGGACGAAAGUCUGACGGAGCGACGCCGCGUGAGUGAAGAAGGCCUUCGGGUCGUAAAGCUCUGUCAUCAGGGACGAACGGCCGGUGGAGUGGAAAGCCACCGGAUUGACGGUACCUGAGAAGGAAGCCACGGCUAACUACGUGCCAGCAGCCGCGGUAAUACGUAGGUGGCAAGCGUUGUCCGGAAUUAUUGGGCGUAAAGCGCGCGCAGGUGGGAUCUUAAGUCCAUUUUGAAAGUUCGGAGCUCAACGCCGGGAUGGGAUGGAAACUGGGAGUCUUGAGUACCGGAGAGGAAAGCGGAAUUCCCCGUGUAGCGGUGAAAUGCGUAGAUAUGGGGAGGAACACCAGUGGCGAAGGCGGCUUUCUGGACGGUGUCUGACACUGAGGCGCGAAAGCCAGGGGAGCGAACGGGAUUAGAAACCCUGGUAGUCC
RNAcentral lists this ribosomal RNA (450 nucleotides) under uncultured bacterium. Its description in RNAcentral is "partial 16S ribosomal RNA". It matches the Rfam family "Bacterial small subunit ribosomal RNA", at positions 354 to 796 of the family's 1533-position model. The record is from RNAcentral.